This 1292-nucleotide ribosomal RNA is filed under the name metagenome. Its description in RNAcentral is "SSU rRNA". It matches the Rfam family "Eukaryotic small subunit ribosomal RNA", at positions 483 to 1768 of the family's 1831-position model. The record is from RNAcentral.
AUACCGGGCCUUUUUGGGCUUGGUAAUUGGAAUGAGGGAGAGUUAAACGGACCAUCGAGUAUCCAUUGGAGGGCAAGUCUGGUGCCAGCAGCUGCGGUAAUACCAGCUCCAAUAGCGUAUAUUAAAGUUGUUGCAGUUAAAAAGCUCGUAGUUGGAUUUAUGUGCGCUGUCCGCGGGUGGCCUGCGCCCAAAAGGGCGUUUCGAUUCGGCCCCGGUGGCGCCUUGAAAUCUGCAGCUGGGGGGACGUUGGCCUUAACUGGUCGGCGACCGCACGCCGGCUGCUCGGUUACUGUGAGAAAAUUAGAGUGUUCAAGGCAGGCAUUGGGUGCAAUUGAAUACAUUAGCAUGGAAUAAUAAAAUAUGGCUCCUGCCGUAUUUUGUUGGUUUUGACUGGUGGGAGUAAUGAUUGAUAGGGACGGUUGGGGGUGCUAGUAUUGAGCGGCCAGAGGUGAAAUUCAUGGAUUCGCUCAAGACUAACUUAUGCGAAAACAUUCACCAAGGACGUCCUCUUUAAUCAAGAACGAAAGUUGGGGGAUCGAAGACGAUCAGAUACCGUCGUAGUCUCAACCAUAAACUAUGUCGACUUGGGAUCGGCGGUAGUUUUUUCAUUAAGACACUGUCGGGACCACGGGAGAAAUCAAAGUGUCUGGACUCUGGGGGAAGUAUGGUCGCAAGGCUGAAACUUGAAGGAAUUGACGGAAGGGCACCACCAGGAGUGGAGCCUGCGGCUUAAUUUGACCCCACACGGGGAAACUUACCAGGUCCAGAGAUGUAGAGGAUUGACAGAUUGAAGCUCUUUCUUGAUCACUUCGGUGGUGGUGCAUGGCCGUUCUUAGUUGGUGGAGCGAUUUGUCUGGUUAAUUCCGUUAACGAACGAGACCUCAGCCUGCUAGUGUAGUCGGCUGGAUUGCCUUUGGCGAUCCGUGAUUUCGACUUCUUAGAGGGACAAUCGACGCGCAGUCGAUGGAAGUUUGAGGCAAUAACAGGUCUGUGAUGCCCUUAGAUGUUCUGGGCCGCACGCGCGCUACACUGCUGGGCUCAGCGAGUUUUACUUGGCCGAGAGGCCCGGUUAAUCUUGUGAAAUCCCAGCGUGCUUGGGCUCGCCUCCUGCAACUGGAGGCGCCAACGAGGAAUUCCUAGUAGACGCAGGUCAUCAACCUGCAUCGAUUACGUCCCUGCCCUUUGUACACACCGCCCGUCGUUCCAUAAGAGUGAGGCAUCCGGUGAAUUCUCGGGAGAGCCUGGGCGUGGCCAGCAAUGGUCUGCUUGGGUUUGAACUUGCAUAAACUUGG